AGGGCUAUAGGGGAGGUAGGAGGGAAAAAAAGUGUAGUAUCUGUUCUUAUCAGCAAAAUAUCUGAUACGUCCUGCAUCACACGAGCAGAAUAUUAAACUCAUUUUUGGCUUCUGACGGAGUGCUAGGGGCUUGCUCCACCUCUGUCGCGGGUUGGCCCGGCAUUGCAGUACCGCCGGGAUCGGCCCACCUAAA
This is a small nuclear RNA of Schistocerca piceifrons (Central American locust), 193 nucleotides long. RefSeq annotates it as U2 spliceosomal RNA. The record is from RefSeq and is a predicted model, not a curated record. NCBI's taxonomy places the organism in Eukaryota, Metazoa, Arthropoda, Insecta, Orthoptera, Acrididae. The transcript has a single exon.